This 228-nucleotide ribosomal RNA is filed under the name uncultured bacterium. RNAcentral describes it as "partial 16S ribosomal RNA". It matches the Rfam family "Bacterial small subunit ribosomal RNA", at positions 118 to 351 of the family's 1533-position model. The record is from RNAcentral.
UGGAUUAUCUGCCCUAAGGUGGGGGAUAACCCGGGGAAACUCGGGCUAAUACCGCAUAUGACCGUAAGGUCAAAGGGGGUCGCAAGAUCUCUCGCCUUUGGAGGAGUCCGCGUCCGAUUAGCUAGUUGGUAGGGUAAUGGCCUACCAAGGCGACGAUCGGUAGCCGGCCUGAGAGGGUGAUCGGCCACACUGGAACUGAGACACGGUCCAGACUCCUACGGGAGGCAG